This is a long non-coding RNA of Talpa occidentalis (Iberian mole), 5225 nucleotides long. RefSeq lists it as uncharacterized. The transcript is spliced from 3 exons. The record is from RefSeq and is a predicted model, not a curated record. Lineage: Eukaryota; Metazoa; Chordata; Mammalia; Eulipotyphla; Talpidae.
GGGGGAGGGGAGAAUACGGAAAAUCUGGACGAUCUCGGCGAACUUGGAGGGGUGUCCCCAGCCUCUUGCGAAAGGGGAACUUGCAGGCUGCUCACUGCACCCCGGUUGCCGGAGAAAGGAGUGUCACUAGGUCAGGCCGCGACUGCUAAUGGCGCUGGGAAAAGUCAUUCGUUAUCAUCUGCCGGGCCGGGAAAAUCUGAGAUGAAAGACUGCUAGCUCGGGGUUGCUCAGUCACCUGCAGCUGGCUUCCAGGGUCCCAGAAUAGUGGGUGGUGAUUUGCUUGAUAAUAAUCAGAUGGGAGCGGGUAAUAAUCAGAUGAUAAUCAGAUGGGAGCGGAAUCUAAGAGCGUUGAUAUCUGAGAAUCAACUCAGCUCGGCGUCAGACUUUAAAGGGUGCCGGUAACCACAUGUUAGUGUGUCAAGGGCAGAAAGCAAGCCCACUAGGGUCACUGGGACAGAGCAGGAAAGAGAAGGAGAUUGUGCAGGAAGGUAGAGACGACCCGGCCGUGGGAGGGUGCGGGAGGCACCGGGAAGACUUUUCUCCUGAUCUUGACUCUUACAACUCCGGGGGUUUCUCUCCUUGACCCACCCCCAGCCCCUCCGGCCGGGAAAAGCUCCCUCCCGGUGGCCCUCUAGUGAACUCAGGAUCUUUACUUCUGGAGGCACUUCUCUUCAAAGGUUUCGCUAUCCAGUAGUCUGCGACCCCACGGAGCAGCAUCCCUCUCAGCUCUGACACCUGCUAGUCCAUCAUCACCCGUCUGAACCUAGUAGAGUUAGCGAGAGAGGGUGCGGGGGGAAGCUGCAAAUCGGGCCUCUUCCUGGCCUACUUGGCAAAGCCACGUGCUAGGGAAGUGGUCUCCUUAGUCAGGACGCUCUAGCAGCCAGCUCCCCGUCCUGCUCCCCCAGCAUUACCGCUGCCCUGAGCAUGCACACACGCGCUUAAACUCGAGCACCCCCAAGGGCUCACCCAAGCACCUACACGUGCACUCCCGCCCAGCCAGAACCCCCAUAGCCGCCCGUUUCGGCCAAGAACCGGAGGGGCGGAGUGAUAGAGGUGAAAAGCGCUUGCAUUUCCUCUUUGCUCUCUUUCGCUUCCCCUCUACGCCCCCGGGGCUCGGUUCCAAUCCCUGGUUUUUUGAAAUCCGCGCAACCUUUCCAGUCGCUUUGUUGCAAAGGAGCGCGGCUCCGCGGUGGCAGUUCCUGCCGUGCCUCCUCCCUCCUGACGGGUGUCAGGGCUUUUGCAGGGAGCUCCUCUGGACCCAGACGGCGCUGGAAGACGCGAGUUCCCGAGCUGGAGGGUCAAGCUCACACAGUGACACGGUGCAGGGCACCUCACACCAACCAGCGGGACACCGCAGACAAAUACAUCAGCAGACAGCACAGCAUCCUGGAAAGUCUCCGCUCAAAUCAUCAGCGCUUUCCCGGUGGCUUUCUGUCCCUCGAAAUGAAAUAAUGAGAUUUCCAAGAAGGGCACGGCAGGAACCUCCGGCGGCGGUGGAGCGUCCAGGGACUGCCAGAACCAGGAGAAAAAGUGCUUCCAUCCUCCAUUCACUUUAAACUUAGCCGCUUCUGGGACUUCACUGGAGGGCGGCGGAGUUGCACCAGCGCGGACCUGCAGAGGCGAGCGAGCACUUCCAAAUAUUUUAGGAUGUGGGAGGUGACAACUUUUCCUCCUGGAUUGUCCCAUCGCCAGCCUUCCCUGAUGAGCUGAUAGGAAUCGCUGAAGUCCAGGAAAUACAAGGUUUGCAGUUCCCUCUAGGGACCAAGUAUAGAGAGAUGUUGAAUGAGAAAUCCAAAGACCUUGCAUCGCUGAACUAAAUAACUUUUUUCUCCCUACUGCCUGGACCAACGUGAGGCGGAGGCACACUUAGCCAACUGUAAGAAGUUAGAGAUGGGAACAGAACCAUAUUCAAAUAUCUUCUUGGGCGCUUAAUUGAAGCAACAAGAGGAGGAGGGUGACGCAUAAGGAGCAAAGGGCAGGGGGCCCAGUGGACUGUUGUCAAACAUUAGGUAUUUUGUGCAGGACUGGUGGUGAAGCAGUGUGGAAGACUGGAAGAUUAAAGGAUGGCUGAUGGUCCAUGAGAAAGAAACCAUUCAAAAGUAAAGUUACAGUAGUUUAGAUGAGAAACAGGAGGCUAUGGCUAUGGGGACUAAUUUCAUCACUAUAAAGAAAUAGAACAGAUUGUCUUCCAGGUAUCUCUAUCAGAAUUUAAGGAUCUACACAAGAAUAUUUCCAGUAAUUCAAAAAACCAAACUACAACAGAAUUUUAGAAUUAAGAGAAAACAAGGCAGCUAUCUGUCUUUUUCACUAAGGCAACAGUUUCUAUUUUGUAAGAUAAAUAUGUAAAUAUUGAGUCAAAUUAAUUUGCAGAGAAAGCCCUGUAUAUUGUUUAUUAAUUGAUCAAAAUAUAAAAAUAUUUUCAAGAGUUUAUGAAUAAAAUAUCACUUUAUGCAUGUAAGCAGAUAAAUAAAAAUUCAAUUUUCCCAGCAUAUGUUAAAAAGCAUAGGAUGUCCACAAUAUUUAUUCAUCUAUACAAGAUGAAUUUUAAAUAUGUUAGUCACUGAAAUAUUUUCAGUGUUCUUUAAGGAUUUUUAUGUUCUCAGAAGAUUAUGUAGAAAUAAUAGUAAUAGAAAAUCUGAAAUAUAUGUGCUGAUUUUAGGAGUGUAACUAAAUAUGUAAAUAGGUAAUCCAAGUUUAUUUGUUGGAUACCUUUGGAAAAAUUGUAUCGGUAAUAAAGUUUUCUCCACACGAGUUAGGAAAGAAAGCAAUAACAAUAAAAUACAGACAUUGUUAAUAAUAUUUAUCAAAAAUAGAAUUCCAGCUUUAUUCUUUAGUCUGUAAGAUGGGGGAGCUAUUGCAUUGUAAAAUCCACUGGCCAGUUCUAUUUUAAGCAUUUUCCUUUGAUUAAAUCAUUUGUAGUAAAUGAUGACCCAAGCUAAGGUAAAGUGACACUUUAAUGGGGGUUAUGGCCUAAUGACAGGGUGUCUUUAAGGGGGUUUCAAUUACUAGAACUAUAAAAUAUUAGUUUGCUAUUAAUAUAUUUAAAGUGAGAUAUUAAUUCUCUCUACAACAUCAAUAUUUAUUAGUGUUUCAAUUUUGGAUUAACACUUAUUUGGCUUUACAUGAAAAUUUGUCUUUCUGUACAACAUGAAAAGACCUUUCCUUAAAUAAAUGCUCUUAUAUUAUUUAGCUAUGCUUUCCCUUAAAAAUCUUGAUAGCUUCAGGAAAUCUCUUAAUCCCAUAAAGAGCAAGAGGGAAGAAGAUAGAAGAUGAAUGCUUUACAAACUUAACCUUGAGUGAAUCCAAGUCAGAAGAAAAAAAGUAGAAUGUCUUAAAAUUUUAAUCCUACAAUAUGAAUAUUGAGAAGGACAAUAUUAACACUACAUAAAUUAUAACCCAAAAUCUUUCUAAACUAGGUUGGCAACCUGGUCAUGAGUACCCAAUAAUCUCUUACAUUUAGAGUUAUGGUUACAGAAAGAUUCUUAGUGGUAUUCUAAGGCUCAUAUUAUAUAUGUGGGAAAACUGAGAUGAAGGAAGGCUGUGCAGUGUGCAGUUAAUUGCUUGCUGCCUUCUCUUGGUAUUAAUGGAAAUCCUUUGAAGUAAGAAAAUUGUAUAUUUCCAGCCCUAUUCUGUAGGUUAAAAAAUUGAGAUGCAGAUGUGUUAUUUCCAUUAAAUCAUCUAGUUAAUUGUCAGAAAUCAGAGUAUUCUAUGAUUGUCAAAUUUUUUUAACUUUUCAAAAAUAUAGGGGAAAUAUUAAAUAAUACCUAUAUAUGAAACUUAAGAUUCUUGAAGAUAAUAUGUAUCAAAGUAACCUAUAGUUAUGAAAUACAAUAAAAAAUAUUGAUUCUUGUGUCUCAUUUCCUUUGGAGGUGGCUUAACGGGUGGAUCUCUUUAUAUAUAAUUUAUUUAUGUUGUAAAAUAUUUCAGCCGCGACCUUGAAUAUACCGGGACAAAAAAAGGUCUUUGAUGUUCUGAAAUGCCUGGUGAAUAUUUAUGUGGAAUAGUACAUGUAAAAGAAGAGAAUGCCCUAUUCAUUUCAUAAUCAAAGUUUUGAAUUUAAAAUUAAAGUCAUCCAACUGUUUGAAAAGAAAGAAAUGCUUCCUCACUAUUAACCAUGAUUUUAAAACCUCAUUAUCAAUUAAUGCAAAGUAACACUCUGGAUAUAAUUUUAGUAAUAGAAAAUCUGAAAUAUAACAUGAAAUAUAGCCUGUGCUGAUUUUAGGAGUGCAACUAAAUAAAUAAAUAGGUAAUUCAAGCUUAUUGGAUCACCAUCUUUGUGUAGUCAUGCAUCUGAGAAGCAAGCUAUCAAUAUCGUCUCUCUGAGAUGAGAGGACAAGCAUGGCUUUUCCAUUAGUCAUAUAUUAAAACAGCCUUAUAGUAAUGCCCUAGAUCAUUUGACCCAUCAAUAAAGUAUUAGAAUUAUAUAGAAACUUGGAAUGUUUUUAUUAACAGCUAUUAUUUCAGAAAUUUACUGGGCAAUGUGACUCAUAUAAACAGUGUAGUACAGUGACGAGAAAGUGAAUUGGCAUUUGAAGACAUUGAGAUCAUGCCAAACCUGCUGCUAAUAGGCUUUGUGGCUUUUGUGAGGUCAUAUGAUAUCCCUGAACUCCAGUUUCUUCAUCAUAAUGAUGAGAAAUACAUUAUUGAGCAAAUGAAUAUAAUAAAGGUUCCAGCAGAACUUCCAGCCCAGGUGCAACGAACAUUUCAAUGCAGGCAUAAUUAACAAGUUUGCUGACUUACAGCUCCUUCCCUUUCAAGAUUCAUGGCCAGAGCAUCAGCACUCUUAUCUACAAGGUUGGGCAGCCAACCAGCUGGUCUAUCUCUCCAAGGCCAUCCCCAAAUGCCUACAUCUUCCCCUCCCUUGUCUUGCCCCCUUUGUCUAGGGACUUCGCAGCAAAUUGUUGUUCCUGCUGAAAAACAAUGCUAUCAAUGGAACAGAUAUGGAGACCAUUGUGUAUAAAAGGAACCCCCGGUCUUUAAACUGGUGCUCAGACCUUACAGGGCUACCCAGGUCUGGGACCUCAGGCAUAAGUAAUAAAGCUUCUCCUGACCUCACGAUUCCUGAAGUACCACUUGUUUUUCCUCUGCCUGGGUAAAAGGCUAGAAUUUAUUUCUACAACAAUACUAUGAGACCCAUGAGCCAGACGAUUUCUAAAAUAUCAUAUAGCAUGAAAACAUGGGCUAUUCCAACUUAAAUGAACUGGAAUUAAAUUCACCACUAAGAA